RNAcentral lists this non-coding RNA (117 nucleotides) under human gut metagenome. Its description in RNAcentral is "SAM riboswitch (S box leader)". It matches the Rfam family "SAM riboswitch aptamer (S box leader)". Rfam says of the family: The SAM riboswitch is found upstream of a number of genes which code for proteins involved in methionine or cysteine biosynthesis in Gram-positive bacteria. The SAM riboswitch acts at the level of transcription termination control. The record is from RNAcentral.
UUCAUCAAGAGUUGGCUGAGGGACUGGCCCAAUGAAGCUGCGGCAACCAUCGUAUUUUGCAAAUUUGUAUAAUACGAACGGUGCCAAUUCCUACAGGAUGAUAUCCUGGCAGAUGAA